Carya illinoinensis is the source of this 1158-nucleotide long non-coding RNA. RefSeq lists it as uncharacterized. The record is from RefSeq and is a predicted model, not a curated record. NCBI's taxonomy places the organism in Eukaryota, Viridiplantae, Streptophyta, Magnoliopsida, Fagales, Juglandaceae. The transcript is spliced from 2 exons.
AGCAUGAUCUGGUAAUUAGAACCAAUCAGUCUAGACAAUAGAGUACUGAAUCUUGCACCAACAAAUUCAGAUAUGUAGACACAUAGGUGCGGAGAAUUAUAUACUUGGCGGAACCCAUAUGGUUUAUAUAUAUAUAUAUAUAUAGAUCACCCGCUUCAGAUCAAUUUUCUUGAUUUUAUUCUAUGAAUAUGUGAGUAAUAUUAAGAUUGAUUCUAUAGCUAAAACAGAAAAGUUUUUAAAGGGGUUUUCAAGGAAGCCAAGGAUUAUUAGCUAGAAUCAACGAGAAAUUUAAAUCUCGUUGAUCCACUUCAGCUUCGUAGAUAAUAGGGUUCUAUCAGGUCAUCCUGCAGCUUCAAUCACUCACUUCCGACAAAGGAAUAAACUUUCGCAUCUUUUUAAGGAUGUCUAUCAGUACUGGUUCAUACCCUACAAAUGCAUUCCAGCAGUUAUACAGAUCUAGAAGUAUACCAAGCACUCCUACCUAGACAGAAUACAUGAUGCAUGCAUCAGCCUUAUAUAUAAGAACCCUCGAGUACUAGAAGGACAAAGCCUAACUUGAUAAGAUCACAAAUUAGAUCAACUUGGAAGCAAGGAGAGCAUGCACCGGCACCUAGCUGUUAGCCAGCAGGUUCCAGCAAGUAGUAGCAGUGGCAGCAGAUGAUAGUGAUCAGAUGGUGAAUAUCGUGUGCGAAUUACAAUUAACACUGGCACUACGUAGAGUUCCAGCAAUCCGGCCAAAGCAACACGUACAAUAAAUGACAGCAGUAGUUCCAACACAAGCAAAGUAAUACUCAACCAGCACUUCAACAUCAGCAAGCAUGGAUAGCAUGGAAAGCAUCAGCACCAAUAAAGCCACUUUACCUGAAAAGAUCGAACAUGUAUGGUAGACAACCAAGCAAGAGACAGCUAGCUAGCUAGACCAGUACUAGAUCUUAAUCCCCGACUUCCUUGCAAGACUAAUAUAUAUUAUGCGGAGAUGGUCCAAAUUACCUUGAUAAAGAGAUCAACUAACUUGGUUUUAAUACAGAAGUUGAUCAUCUCGUGCAUGCAGUAGAUAGAUCAUUCUCCAAUUUGCUAAAUAAUUUUGGAUUCCAUAUAGAGUCUGACGUUGUUCCUUUCCUUCCAGAUGGUAUAUAUAAAUAAACCGAAUUGUGGCUA